This 253-nucleotide ribosomal RNA is filed under the name uncultured bacterium. RNAcentral describes it as "partial 16S ribosomal RNA". It matches the Rfam family "Bacterial small subunit ribosomal RNA", at positions 524 to 776 of the family's 1533-position model. The record is from RNAcentral.
UACGGAGGGUGCAAGCGUUAUCCGGAUUCACUGGGUUUAAAGGGUGCGUAGGCGGAUUAUUAAGUCAGUGGUGAAAGCCUGCAGCUUAACUGCAGAAUUGCCAUUGAUACUGAUGAUCUUGAGUAUGAUUGAGGUGGGCGGAAUGUGUCAUGUAGCGGUGAAAUGCUUAGAUAUGACACAGAACACCGAUUGCGAAGGCAGCUCACUAAGCCAUAACUGACGCUGAUGCACGAAAGCGUGGGGAGCAAACAGG